AUAAAGUAGUCCACUUUGUUUUCACUGUGUUGCAAUGCAUGUUGAUAUCCAGGAAAUAGAUGUGUGAUGACUUUAUGAUUGUGGUAAUGAUGCUAGGCAGGGUGUAUGAAUGAAUCUUGUGUGAGGAAGCAUGUGUGAGGUAUUGAGCUCCAGAGUUCUUAUUGUUGUAUGUUUUGUUCACAGGAGAACAUGGAUGAUAUUGCCUUAAUCUUGAUGAUCGAUUGAAUUGCAUGUGAAUGUCAUAUGAUCAAGGCCAUUUUUGAAAACCCUUCUCUACCCAAAUU
RNAcentral lists this long non-coding RNA (284 nucleotides) under Vigna radiata. RNAcentral describes it as "long non-coding RNA (VRAD_LNC000936)". Lineage: Eukaryota; Viridiplantae; Streptophyta; Magnoliopsida; Fabales; Fabaceae. The record is from RNAcentral.